CCUACGGGAGGCAGCAGUGGGGGAUAUUGCACAAUGGGGGAAACCCUGAUGCAGCGACGCCGCGUGAGUGAAGAAGUAUUUCGGUAUGUAAAGCUCUAUCAGCAGGGAAGAAAAUGACAGUACCUGACCAAGAAGCCCCGGCUAACUACGUGCCAGCAGCCGCGGUAAUACGUAGGGGGCAAGCGUUAUCCGUAUUUACUGGGUGUAAAGGGAGCGUAGACGGUUAGGUAAGUCUGGAGUGAAAGUCCGGGGCCCAACCGCGGAACUGCAUUGGAAACUGUGUAACUGGAGUACAGGUGAGGCAGGCGGAAUUCGUGGUGUAGCGGUGAAAUGCGUAGAUAUCAGGAGGAACUCCGGCGGCGAAGGCAGCCUACUAGACUGAAACUGACGUUGAGGCUCGAAAGCGUGGGGAGCAAACAGGAUUAGAUACCCGGGUAGUC
Molecule: ribosomal RNA, 440 nt
Filed under: uncultured bacterium
Lineage: Bacteria
Description: partial 16S ribosomal RNA
Rfam family: Bacterial small subunit ribosomal RNA
Source: RNAcentral